RNA transcript from Lathyrus oleraceus (garden pea), 1997 nucleotides. It is a transcript of the gene named fasciclin-like arabinogalactan protein 15, with no coding region annotated. The transcript has 3 exons. Lineage: Eukaryota; Viridiplantae; Streptophyta; Magnoliopsida; Fabales; Fabaceae. The record is from RefSeq and is a predicted model, not a curated record.
UGAUGCAGUGAUGUAUAGAUGAUAGCAUAACAGCACAUCAGUUCCCGUGUGGCCCCCAUUUUACAGCCUGUCAAACAGUACUAGUCCUUAUUUUCCUUUCCUUUCACUAUCGUUUCUUUCUUCUCUAACCAUUAAGCAAAGCAAACUCUCACAAUCGCAUUAAAAUUAUACACAGCAAGACUGAGAAGAAGACUCAACAACCAUACCCCACAACACACGCUACUUCACUUUACCUUCUCUUCCAACCUUCUCACACUCUCAUUCCAUUUUAUCAUCAAAAAUACACAAACAAACACUACUGUUUCUCUUUCUCUCCAUUUUCAGAGCACCAUGGAUUCAAAAUCCAUCUAUGGUGUCUCCGUCGGCAAUUUCAUCAUCACCUUCUUUCUCCUUUUCAUCCUCCCAAUCCAUUCGGCAUUACCUCAUAACUCCUCCGCCGUUCAGAUCAACUCCAACUCCAUCCUCGUUGCGCUUCUUGAUUCCCAUUACACCGAACUAUCUGAACUUGUUGAGAAAGCUCUUCUUCUUCAGAAACUCGAAGAAGCUGUUGGGAAACACAAUAUCACUAUCUUCGCUCCUAGAAAUCAAGCUCUAGAACGUGACCUAGAUCCUGAAUUCAAACGGUUUCUUCUCGAGCCGCGUAAUUUGAGGUCUCUUCAAACGCUUUUGAUGUCUCACAUUCUUCCUUCCAGAAUCGCUUCACACCACUGGCCUAACACCGACCUUCACCACCAUACACUCUCCCACCACCGUCUUCAGUUAACCACAAAUCCUUCUGGGAAGAAAACUGUUGAUUCCGCUGAGAUUCUCAAACCCGACGACGUUAUCCGCCCCGACGGCGUUAUCCACGGAAUCGAACGCCUCAUUAUCCCUCGCUCCGUACAAGAAGAUUUCAACCGGAGGAGAAAUCUCGCUGAUAUAUCAGCGAUUCUCCCGGAAGGAGCACCGGUGGUAGAUCCACGAACUCACCGAUUAAAAAAACCGGUAUCCGUUCCAGCCGGAGCUCCACCGGUACUACCAAUCUACGACGCAUUGGCACCGGGACCAUCUCUAGCUCCGGCGCCGGCUCCAGGACCGGGAGGACCACGUCAUCACUUCAACGGAGAACGUCAAGUGAAGGAUUUCAUCCACACACUUUUGCAUUACGGAGGUUACAACGAAAUGGCAGAUAUUCUUGUUAACCUAACGUCGCUUGCAACGGAAAUGGGACGUUUAGUUUCUGAAGGCUAUGUUCUCACCGUUUUGGCACCAAACGACGAAGCAAUGGCGAAAUUAACCACCGAUCAAUUGAGUGAACCAGGUGCACCGGAACAAAUCAUAUACUACCACAUAAUUCCGGAAUAUCAAACGGAGGAGAGUAUGUAUAACGCCGUUAGAAGAUUCGGUAAAGUUAGUUACGAUACACUCCGUUUGCCUCAUAAGGUUGUUGCUCAGGAAUCUGACGGUUCCGUUAAAUUCGGUCACGGCGAUACUUCCGCUUAUCUGUUUGAUCCUGAUAUUUUCACCGACGGGAGAAUCUCCGUUCAGGGAAUUGACGGUGUUCUUUUACCUCCUGAGGAAGAAAAGGAAGAUGAAUCCCCAAUUAGCCGUGUAAAAACUCCACUUGUUAAAGUUGCUGCUAAACCAAAGAGAGGAAAAUUGCUGGAACUCGCUUGUAGCAUGGUUGGAUCUUUCGGAAGAGUCUGCUCAUGAUGAAAUCGCUUUCUCAACUAAUCGCUUAAAAAUAGAAAAAAAAUUAUAAUAAAAAAAGAGUGAAUUUAUGUAAACUUGAUGAAUGUUGUAGAGUAAUCAUUUUCAAUACAAAAGUGGAGCGAUUGAGUUGUGCAAGAUUUCGGUGGGAACUCACACAGAAGAUAGCAAAUUUUCUGUCAUUUUGUUUCAUACUGUAAUUACAUACUGUAUCAUUUUUUUAUUAAAUUUUUAUUUUAUGUUGAUUCACUGUCUCUGUAUGCAUAAAUAACUUUCCAAUACAACACUCUCCUAUCUCGGUUGCAUUA